This 1360-nucleotide ribosomal RNA is filed under the name uncultured bacterium. RNAcentral describes it as "bacterial SSU rRNA". It matches the Rfam family "Bacterial small subunit ribosomal RNA", at positions 28 to 1381 of the family's 1533-position model. The record is from RNAcentral.
GAUGAACGCUAGCGGCAGGCUUAACACAUGCAAGUCGAGGGGCAUCGGGAGGGAAGCUUGCUUUCCUUGCCGGCGACCGGCGCACGGGUGAGUAACACGUAUGCGACCUGCCCUCUUCAGGGGGACAACCUUCCGAAAGGGAGGCUAAUCCCGCGUAUAUCGGUUUCGGGCACCCGAGAUCGAGGAAAGAUUCAUCGGAAGAGGAUGGGCAUGCGGCGCAUUAGCUUGACGGCGGGGUACCGGCCCACCGUGGCGACGAUGCGUAGGGGUUCUGAGAGGAAGGUCCCCCACACUGGUACUGAGACACGGACCAGACUCCUACGGGAGGCAGCAGUGAGGAAUAUUGGUCAAUGGGAGAGAUCCUGAACCAGCCAAGCCGCGUGAGGGAAGACGGCCCUAUGGGUUGUAAACCUCUUUUGUCGGAGAACAAAACCCGGGACGUGUCCCGGACUGCGUGUAUCCGAAGAAAAAGCAUCGGCUAACUCCGUGCCAGCAGCCGCGGUAAUACGGAGGAUGCGAGCGUUAUCCGGAUUUAUUGGGUUUAAAGGGUGCGUAGGCGGUCCGUUAAGUCAGCGGUAAAAUUGCGGGGCUCAACCCCGUCGAGCCGUUGAAACUGGCAGACUUGAGUUGGCGAGAAGUACGCGGAAUGCGCGGUGUAGCGGUGAAAUGCAUAGAUAUCGCGCAGAACUCCGAUUGCGAAGGCAGCGUACCGGCGCCAGACUGACGCUGAGGCACGAAAGCGUGGGGAUCGAACAGGAUUAGAUACCCUGGUAGUCCACGCAGUAAACGAUGAAUGCUGGUUGUCCGGGUCGAAUGAGAUCUGGGCGGCGAAGCGAAAGCGAUAAGCAUUCCACCUGGGGAGUACGCCGGCAACGGUGAAACUCAAAGGAAUUGACGGGGGCCCGCACAAGCGGAGGAACAUGUGGUUUAAUUCGAUGAUACGCGAGGAACCUUACCCGGGCUCAAACGGGAGUGGAAUGGACCAGAGACGGUUCAGCCUACGGGCCGCUUCCGAGGUGCUGCAUGGUUGUCGUCAGCUCGUGCCGUGAGGUGUCGGCUUAAGUGCCAUAACGAGCGCAACCCCCGCCGGCAGUUGCUAACGGGCAAUGCCGAGGACUCUGCCGGGACUGCCGCCGCAAGGCGAGAGGAAGGCGGGGAUGACGUCAAAUCAGCACGGCCCUUACGUCCGGGGCGACACACGUGUUACAAUGGGCGGUACAGCGGGAAGCCAGGCGGCGACGCCGAGCGGAACCCGAAAGCCGUUCUCAGUUCGGACCGGAGUCUGCAACCCGACUCCGUGAAGCUGGAUUCGCUAGUAAUCGCGCAUCAGCCAUGGCGCGGUGAAUACGUUCCCGGGCCU